RNAcentral lists this ribosomal RNA (323 nucleotides) under uncultured Tremula. Its description in RNAcentral is "SSU rRNA". The stretch from base 106 to 323 matches the Rfam family "Eukaryotic small subunit ribosomal RNA", at positions 737 to 955 of the family's 1831-position model. Lineage: Eukaryota; Cercozoa. The record is from RNAcentral.
GAUUUCUGACCCUGUGGGCCUGGCCCGCCUCGAAAGAGCGUGUGUUGUCGGCGCCUGCUGGUCAUCUUUCUAGAAAACGCUCCUGCCCUUCACUGGGUUCGGGGGCGCGAUCUAGAUCUUUUACUUUGAAAAAAUUAGAGUGUUCAAAGCAGGCUUUACGCUGUGAAUACAUUAGCAUGGAAUAAUAAGAUAGGGCUUUGGUACUAUUUUGUUGGUUUCUAGGACCAAAGUAAUGAUUGAUAGGGACAGUUGGGGGUGCUAGUAUUCAAUGGCCAGAGGUGAAAUUCUCGGAUUCAUUGAAGACUAACAAAUGCGAAAGCAUU